RNAcentral lists this ribosomal RNA (488 nucleotides) under uncultured bacterium. RNAcentral's name for it is "partial 16S ribosomal RNA". It matches the Rfam family "Bacterial small subunit ribosomal RNA", at positions 30 to 507 of the family's 1533-position model. The record is from RNAcentral.
AUUGAACGCUGGCGGCAUGCUUUACACAUGCAAGUCGAACGGCAGCACAGGGAGCUUGCUCCUGGGUGGCGAGUGGCGAACGGGUGAGUAAUGUAUCGGAACGUGCCUGGUAGUGGGGGAUAACUACUCGAAAGAGUGGCUAAUACCGCAUGAGAUCUUUGGAUGAAAGCGGGGGACCUUCGGGCCUCGUGCUACUGGAGCGGCCGAUAUCAGAUUAGGUUGUUGGUGGGGUAAAGGCCUACCAAGCCUGCGAUCUGUAGCUGGUCUGAGAGGACGACCAGCCACACUGGGACUGAGACACGGCCCAGACUCCUACGGGAGGCAGCAGUGGGGAAUUUUGGACAAUGGGCGCAAGCCUGAUCCAGCAAUGCCGCGUGCAGGACGAAGGCCUUCGGGUUGUAAACUGCUUUUGUACAGAACGAAAAGUCUCUGGCUAAUAUCUAGAGAUCACGACGGUACUGUAAGAAUAAGCACCGGCUAACUACGUG